This 475-nucleotide ribosomal RNA is filed under the name uncultured bacterium. Its description in RNAcentral is "bacterial SSU rRNA". It matches the Rfam family "Bacterial small subunit ribosomal RNA", at positions 29 to 523 of the family's 1533-position model. The record is from RNAcentral.
AACGAACGCUGGCGGCAUGCCUAACACAUGCAAGUCGAACGAGACCUUCGGGUCUAGUGGCGCACGGGUGCGUAACGCGUGGGAAUCUGCCCUUGGGUUCGGAAUAACAGCGAGAAAUUGCUGCUAAAUACCGGAUGAUGACGUAAGUCCAAAGAUUUAUCGCCCAAGGAUGAGCCCGCGUAGGAUUAGCUAGUUGGUGAGGUAAAGGCUCACCAAGGCGACGAUCCUUAGCUGGUCUGAGAGGAUGAUCAGCCACACUGGGACUGAGACACGGCCCAGACUCCUACGGGAGGCAGCAGUGGGGAAUAUUGGACAAUGGGCGAAAGCCUGAUCCAGCAAUGCCGCGUGAGUGAUGAAGGCCUUAGGGUUGUAAAGCUCUUUUGUCAGGGAAGAAACGGUGAGUUCUAAUAAAGCUUGCUAAUGACGGUACCUGAAGAAUAAGCACCGGCUAACUACGUGCCAGCAGCCGCGGUAA